UCGGGAAUUUUGGGCAAUGGGCGAAAGCCUGACCCAGCAACGCCGCGUGAGGGAUGAAGUAUUUCGGUAUGUAAACCUCGAAAGAAUGGGAAGAAUAAAUGACGGUACCAUUUAUAAGCUCCGGCUAACUACGUGCAAGCAGCCGCGGUAAUACGUAGGGAGCAAGCGUUGUUCGGAUUUACUGGGCGUAAAGGGCGCGUAGGCGGCGCGGUAAGUCACUUGUGAAAUCUCUGAGCUUAACUCAGAACGGCCAAGUGAUACUGCUGUGCUAGAGUGCGGAAGAGGCAACCGGAAUUCUAGGUGUGGCGGUGAAAUGCGUAGAUAUCAAGAGGAACACCUGAGGCGAAGGCGGGUUGCUGGGCCGACACUGACGCUGAUGCGCGAAAGCCAGGGGAGCAAACG
Molecule: ribosomal RNA, 402 nt
Filed under: uncultured bacterium
Lineage: Bacteria
Description: bacterial SSU rRNA
Rfam family: Bacterial small subunit ribosomal RNA
Source: RNAcentral